UGGGUUACAGAUCUAGAUGUUUAUAUGCC
Molecule: non-coding RNA, 29 nt
Filed under: Rattus norvegicus (Norway rat)
Lineage: Eukaryota; Metazoa; Chordata; Mammalia; Rodentia; Muridae
Source: RNAcentral